Athene cunicularia (burrowing owl) is the source of this 1193-nucleotide long non-coding RNA. RefSeq lists it as uncharacterized. NCBI's taxonomy places the organism in Eukaryota, Metazoa, Chordata, Aves, Strigiformes, Strigidae. The transcript is spliced from 2 exons. The record is from RefSeq and is a predicted model, not a curated record.
CCUAAGGAAAAAUCUGCACGCUGUUAAUGACUUUAUUCUAUUUGAGCAGAACUUCGUUAUGGAAAAACGGAUCGAUGUUCUUUUAUUUGUAUGUUGUUGGAUCCUGUUGUAGGAGAUGAGCAGCUUUUCAGUAAGAUAAUGUGGCAUGUUUUACAAGGUUAGGCCGUGGAUGGCCUGCAUCUUUAACACCGGAUUGAAGUAUAUUCUUAGUGCAAAUGAAAACUAUGGUAUGCAAAUAUCGUGAAGAUGCCCCAUGUCUUACUUUCUGAGGUUCAUAAGAAAAUGAACUUGUCACGCAGGUCUGGGUAGGUUUAGAAGCUUGGCAGGUUUUUGUUUUGUUUUGUUGUUUUGUUUUUUUUUUCCUGGCUCUCUUUUAAUUUCAGUAUUGUGAUGGGGAAGUAAAAAAUGUUUGUUUUCCAACCGUAACACUUCAUUUUUUCUCUUAAAGAGUGCAACUUGUGUUACUGUUUGGGUGGUCUUCUUGUGUUUUCAGAGCACUUCAGUGCUAGUUCCUACCUCUUGUUCUUGCGUGGCAAGGGUGUAAAUUUAGCCUCUGCAUCUAACCCAGUGAACAAAUGAACAGUUAAAAUUGCUGAUGCUUUAAGGAUGGUUGGUUGUUCUAUUUAGAAAUGUUUCAUAGCACUUUUUCAGUUCUCAGUCUGUCCCCAGAUAGAUGUGAAUAUUUUUUUAAUUUCUUUCUUCCACGGCAGUAACCUGGUGGGGGAUAAACUUGAAUAUUUGGUGAAUGUGUUGUGUGAGAACUCCUGGAAUGAAAGUAACUGAACAUAUGACUAAUACAGAAGUCUCCUGUAUAAUAGACGCUACUUAAUACAUGUUACAUAAGUAAUAUGGUGAGGUGGAGUCUAGUUACAUAAGAACUGACUGGGGACUUGGGAGCUACUGUUAUAUAAAGGAUACCAGGAAAGAAAUGGAGGAGACUGUAAUUAAGGAUGAUACAGUGUGAAGCCCUCGAAAGUUAGGAGUCUCAUUUGAGUCUAGCUUUUAGGAUAUAAACUCUACUUCCUAAAAGAACAGUUCACCCCUUGGCCUUUUUUGAGUGUCAGAUAGUGGCUGUCAGCUGAGCAUCGCACCAACCAAUUUUGUUCUGUGCAGACUACUAUAAAGAGCAGGAUUUUGAGUCCGAGUUUGUUGGUUUUUUUAAAAAAAAAAAAAAAAAAGCUUACUGGAAAUGC